Molecule: ribosomal RNA, 230 nt
Filed under: Escherichia coli
Lineage: Bacteria; Pseudomonadati; Pseudomonadota; Gammaproteobacteria; Enterobacterales; Enterobacteriaceae
Description: partial 23S ribosomal RNA
Rfam family: Bacterial large subunit ribosomal RNA
Source: RNAcentral
GGAGAAUGUUAUCACGGGAGACACACGGCGGGUGCUAACGUCCGUCGUGAAGAGGGAAACAACCCAGACCGCCAGCUAAGGUCCCAAAGUCAUGGUUAAGUGGGAAACGAUGUGGGAAGGCCCAGACAGCCAGGAUGUUGGCUUAGAAGCAGCCAUCAUUUAAAGAAAGCGUAAUAGCUCACUGGUCGAGUCGGCCUGCGCGGAAGAUGUAACGGGGCUAAACCAUGCAC